Non-coding RNA from Paramuricea clavata, 299 nucleotides. The record is from the annotation of a GenBank genome assembly. Lineage: Eukaryota; Metazoa; Cnidaria; Anthozoa; Malacalcyonacea; Plexauridae.
UAUAGAUGGCCCUAAAGGGGUAAAAUGGGAACUGGGAUUGAUCUAUUUUUAGACUAGGAAAAUGGGAUUUGGGUUGCUGGGACAGGGAUUUGGCCACUAGGAAUGGGAAAUGAAGUCCUCAAAAAUGGGAAUGGGAUUGAAGUAAUGUGAGUCGAUUCCCAAUUUUGAUCCGUUUUUGGUGUCUUUAGUCGUGAUUUUUGUUGUUAACUAUAUUAUUCACAGCAUUACCUGCGAACAGACAUACUCUGGCGCCCGGAACUUUGGGUUUUCUGAUUAUGCGUGUCUCAGAAUGAUGCAAA